UGUUGACACCAUAAAUUGGUUUUGCUUCACACUGUCUUGAUCAAGAGUAUGUGAAGCUUUUGAGAAUUGUGGUUGCCCUCCAUUGAUGAAGCUCUUGUUGGCACCAUAAAUUGGUUUUGCUUUACACUGUCUUGAUCAAGAGUGUGUGAAACUUUUGAGAAUUGUGGUUAAACUCCUUUGAUAAACCUCUUGUUGGCACCAUAAAUUGGUUUUGCUUCACACUGUCUUGUUCAAGAGGGCUGAAUAGUUUGAUCUUCGUAUGCCAUGCACUGAAGUUAUUGUUGGCUUGCAAUAAGACUUUGUUGGUGAUUAUAACUCUUGUUGGGCAUAAGUGCUCCCCUAGUUGAGUUGUCAAGCUUGAGGGUUUUUGAUUAUUUGUGAAUGCUAGGAGUUCACAUGUACAAGUUGUACCACUCGUCUUCUAGUAGGUGGAAUGAAUGAUGAGUUACUUUCAUCACUUGGUUGGUGGUACGAAGGUGAUUUCCUUCAUCACAUUUCAUCACAUUUCAUCACCUAGUUGGUGGCAUGAAUGACAAGUUUGCCAAAUAAUAUUAGAGUACGGGUUGUACAUUUCAUCACCUGGUUGGUGGCAUGAAGAUGAGUUACUUCUUCACCUGGUUGGUGGCAUAAGUGGCAAGUUGCCAAAUGAUAUUAAAGUACGGGUUGUACAUUUCAUCACCUCGUUGGUGGCAUGAAGGAGAGUACGAGUUGUACAUUUCAUCACUUGGUUGAUGGCAUGAAGAUGAGUUCCUUAUUCACCUGGUUGGUGACAUAAGUGGCAACUUGCCAAAUGAUAUUAAAGUACGGGUUAUACAUUUCAUCACCUGGUUGGUGGCAUGAAGGAGAGUACGGGUUGUACAU
This 861-nucleotide long non-coding RNA is filed under the name Malus domestica (apple). RNAcentral's name for it is "long non-coding RNA (MDOM_LNC002229)". The record is from RNAcentral. Lineage: Eukaryota; Viridiplantae; Streptophyta; Magnoliopsida; Rosales; Rosaceae.